GCUAGCAUGGUAUAGUGGUUUGCACACUGGACUACUACUCUGUAGACCAAGGUUUGAAUCCUUGCUCAGCC
Molecule: non-coding RNA, 71 nt
Organism: Phrynosoma platyrhinos (Desert horned lizard)
Lineage: Eukaryota; Metazoa; Chordata; Lepidosauria; Squamata; Phrynosomatidae
Source: the annotation of a GenBank genome assembly